This 527-nucleotide ribosomal RNA is filed under the name uncultured bacterium. Its description in RNAcentral is "bacterial SSU rRNA". It matches the Rfam family "Bacterial small subunit ribosomal RNA", at positions 777 to 1304 of the family's 1533-position model. The record is from RNAcentral.
AAUAGAUACCCUGGUAGUCCACGCCGUAAACGAUGAGUGCUAGGUGUUGGGGGGUUCCACCCUCAGUGCUGAAGUUAACACAUUAAGCACUCCGCCUGGGGAGUACGACCGCAAGGUUGAAACUCAAAGGAAUUGACGGGGGCCCGCACAAGCAGUGGAGCAUGUGGUUUAAUUCGAAGCAACGCGAAGAACCUUACCAGGUCUUGACAUCCUUUGACCACUCUAGAGAUAGAGCUUUCCCCUUCGGGGGACAAAGUGACAGGUGGUGCAUGGUUGUCGUCAGCUCGUGUCGUGAGGUGUUGGGUUAAGUCCCGCAACGAGCGCAACCCUUGACCUUAGUUGCCAGCAUUCAGUUGGGCACUCUAAGGUGACUGCCGGUGACAAACCGGAGGAAGGUGGGGAUGACGUCAAAUCAUCAUGCCCCUUAUGACCUGGGCUACACACGUGCUACAAUGGAUGAUACAAAGGGUUGCGAAGCCGCGAGGCCAAGCCAAUCCCAAAAAGUCAUUCUCAGUUCGGAUUGUAGG